UUUUAUCAUUUUUGGAUGGAUUUUCAGCCGCUAAAAUUUCAGUUCACAAAAAACCAGCAACAACAUGAAACUCAAAAGCUUCCAUAACUCCAUGUCCUCAAACCUCCUACUUUCCAGUAUUCAAUUCCAUUUCCACCCACAACACCACCACCAUCUCAAUUCUUGUUCUCCGAAAGCCCACCAGUAUAACUCCUCUAAGGGCUCGUCCCUCACAGCUCAAUCGAAACUUGCCAAGCACGAACUCCUCAACCUCAUAUCCGAUCAAGAUCGAGGCCUCAAAACCCAAAAGAACCCGGCCAAACGAGACUCCAUUAUCAAUGCCAUAGAUGCUCUUGCUGAUCUGGGCAGCGAUACUGUUACUACCGGGACUUCGCUCUCGGCUACGUGGAGACUACUCUGGACCACCGAAAAAGAGCAGCUCUUCAUCAUAGAAAAUGCCCACUUGUUUGGUACCCAAGUCGGUGAAGUUUUGCAGGUCAUCGAUGUCGAGCAGAAGCUCCUUAACAAUGUCAUCACUUUUCCUCCAGAUGGCGUUUUCUUCGUUCGGUCCAAUAUCGAAAUCGCUUCGCCACAGAGAGUGAAUUUCAGAUUUACAAGCGCGGUUUUACGAGGGAAGAACUGGGAGAUUCCGUUGCCCCCAUUUGGUCAGGGUUGGUUUGAGUCGGUGUUCCUUGAUGAUGAAAUUCGCGUUGUGAAGGACAUCAGGGGAGACUACUUGGUUGUAGAUCGUGCUCCCUAUGCUUGGAAAGAAUGAAGGGCAAAACCUAUGGCUUGUAGGAUAAUUGGAACAUAAAAAAGUGAGUUCGCUUGUUCAAAACCAGCUACUUUAAUCGACUCACCUGAAUAUGUUUCUAGGUGAUGUAAUAUCCCAGAUCCCAUAUAAAUGUCUCAUUAUGAUAACGAUUUCUUUUUCACAUUCAUUGGCAAUUUGAGGAUAUUGCUCCUUGGAUUCGAUCAUUUUUUCUUGAAACAGGAUUCGAUCAUAAUGUCUCAUCUUUGGACACAUAUAUUGAUGUUUACUAGGUGCAGUAAUUGCUUGUUUCUUCUCUGUUUAGGAGGAAGAGCAAUAAUGUUUAUUCUUUCUUUGUAAUUGAAAUACACUAAGUUUGUGUUGGCAUAUGUAAAGUAUGCAGAGGAAAUAUUUGACUGAUGUGCUGAUAUUUCUUGUUUCCAUCAACCCAAGUUCUUGGUUAGUGACUGCUCCUUGUAUUAGGUCCCAACCAUAAGUCCAUUCUCUGUAAGAUUUUCUGUGGUCUUCCUAUUCCAGAGAAGUAAGCUUGAAGAAUUAGACUCUCAAUUACUUCAAUUGCUGUACGCAUUAAUAUUCUCGCAUACCUUCUAACCUUCCCUCCUAACCAACAAAACAGUUAUCCUCCUCAGCACCACUAAUAGAUAGAGUGGCUGUGCUGCUAAUGUUGCCUCUGAAACUCUCUUUGAGGUUUGAAUCUGUUUACCUGGAUGAUGAUAUUAGAGUUGCAAAGGAUAUUCGUGGAGACUACUUAGUUGUUGAUCACGCUCCUUAUAAUUGGAAAGAGUAAGAUGUAUAACUCGGUAAUCUGUCAUUCUCUUGCAUUGUCCUUUGCAUAAUAUGUACUUACAUUGUUUUUCUUAGUUACCUGACCAUUUUAGUACACUCGGCCAAAUUUGUUUUGUGCACGUAGUUUUUGAACUCGUUAACUUGUUCUCUGAUCUUUGCUUCUUUCCCAUAUAUUUUUAGCAUUUUGAGGCUGCAUGUAGGGAAAUGAGAUCCUUUCUUUACAGCCCCUAGAUUUCAUAUAUAAUUUUGUCAAGCUCUUGCUUUGGGAAGAUUUCAAGUCAUGCUCCGACUUUCAUUGAAUGUUUCGUUUCCAUAGCAGCUGGCCUAUACUUCCUCACUCUCUUUCCUUGCAGAGUAAAUGUAUUCAUAUGUUACAGUGUAUAGAAAAGUAUAUAGGCACUGUAAAAAAAACCCUCUACGAUUAGGAUUUAGCCAUAUUAUAAUUUAGACCGUGAUGCUUAAAGCAGGCAUAUUGAAGAUGGGCUGAUGGGUUUGUAUAAUAUAUUUGUUACACCUUUAUUAAACGACAUAACUUACUUUUUGUUGAUA
This is an RNA transcript of Ziziphus jujuba (common jujube), 2086 nucleotides long. It is a transcript of the gene named probable plastid-lipid-associated protein 11, chloroplastic, with no coding region annotated. Lineage: Eukaryota; Viridiplantae; Streptophyta; Magnoliopsida; Rosales; Rhamnaceae. The record is from RefSeq and is a predicted model, not a curated record. The transcript is spliced from 4 exons.